GAUGAAGAACGUAGCGAAAUGCGAUAAGUAAUGUGAAUUGCAGAAUUCAGUGAAUCAUCGAAUCUUUGAACGCACAUUGCGCCCGCCAGCAUUCUGGCGGGCAUGCCUGUUCGAGCGUCAUUUCAACCCUCGAGCCCCCCCGGGGGCCUCGGUGUUGGGGGACGGCACACCAGCCGCCCCCGAAAUGCAGUGGCGACCCCGCCGCAGCCUCCCCUGCGUAUUAGCACACACCUCGCACCGGAGCGCGGAGGCGGUCACGCCGUAAAACGCCCAACUUUCUUAGAGUUGACCUCGGAUCAGGUAGGAAUACCCGCUGAACUUAAGCAUAUCAAUAAGCGGAGGA
RNAcentral lists this unclassified non-coding RNA (343 nucleotides) under soil metagenome. RNAcentral's name for it is "partial contains 5.8S ribosomal RNA, internal transcribed spacer 2, and large subunit ribosomal RNA". The stretch from base 1 to 120 matches the Rfam family "5.8S ribosomal RNA", at positions 35 to 154 of the family's 154-position model. The record is from RNAcentral.